UNUAAGUAAGCAGGCAGUGCAUGGCGU
RNAcentral lists this non-coding RNA (27 nucleotides) under Mus musculus (house mouse). The record is from RNAcentral. Lineage: Eukaryota; Metazoa; Chordata; Mammalia; Rodentia; Muridae.